GGUCAAAGUGUUCUACGUUAUGAUGACAACUACAUUUUUUGUUACUAAUUCUUGAUAAUGUAGCUACUAUUAACGGUGGCUCUUUUUUUUCUUUUAUUGGCCUUUUUCUCCUUUAAUCUAUCUAAUCAGAUAGGUUUUGUUAUCAUUUAUCCUUCGAAUAUUCCGUUGAUGUUUUUGUAGAACAAGGUAUAUCAUAUUUUAGCCUGAAAAACACUAUAUUUUUGUUCACACAGAAAAUGUAUGUACAUGAAGCGGAUGAAUUAUACGGCGAAUAGUGGGAAAUAGUUGCAUCCGGUACGGGUUUUAGAAUAAGUACGUCUUGCUAUUAUUGAUUAUUUGCUUCAGGGGUACCUAUAUCCGGUGCUGAUGGUACACUGUGGCUACGUGACCGAGGAAAAACACUCGUAGAUCACCAGAGAAGAACAAUAUUCUGCGGCUGAAAACGGAGAACUUCUACACAUAAAUUGUAAAUGAAUGGUAAUGUUAUGGUUUAAUUUUAUUUUGUAUCCAUAUCAACAUGAUCCAAUAAGAUAUUGUGUUAACUAUCUUAAUAAAGGUUAUGCAGCAAUAGUAUAUGUUAAGUGGCUUAUUUAUGAUAUAAUACAAACAAAUUCUUUACUAAGCACGUCCUCCUUAUAUCAUUUUAAAAAUGUUUUAUUUUGAAAUAAAUGAGUUUGUAAUUGUAACAUUCAAUUGAUAUGUUAUAAAGUAAAUAUUAGGCGCUGAACGUGACUAAUCUGGAAGUGACAUCUUAUAUAAUUAUAAAUAGCAUGUUAAUGACAUUGCUUUGCUUUGGCAACUAGCUAUUAAAUGUUGAAUGAUGAAAAUGAAGAAAAGAUCUAUGAUCCGGGAGAACAAAACAAAAUAGAAGUUUAAAAUGAACAGGAAACAACA
This 894-nucleotide long non-coding RNA is filed under the name Mytilus galloprovincialis (Mediterranean mussel). The record is from RNAcentral. Lineage: Eukaryota; Metazoa; Mollusca; Bivalvia; Mytilida; Mytilidae.